AACGCGAAGAACCUUACCAGGUCUUGACAUCCGUGGAACCUUGGUGAAAGCCAGGGGUGCCUUCGGGAACCACGAGACAGGUGGUGCAUGGUUGUCGUCAGCUCGUGUCGUGAGAUGUUGGGUUAAGUCCCGCAACGAGCGCAACCCCUGCUAUUAGUUGCUAACAUAUAAGGUGAGCACUCUAAUGGGACUGCCUGUGACAAGCAGGAGGAAGGUGGGGAUGACGUCAAAUCAUCAUGCCCUUUAUGAUCUGGGCUACACACGUGCUACAAUGGAUGGUACAGAGAGCAGCAAGACCGCGAGGUGGAGCGAAUCUCAAAAAGCCAUUCUCAGUUCGGAUUGUAGUCUGCAACUCGACUACAUGAAGUCGGAAUCGCUAGUAAUCGCGAAUCAGCAUGUCGCGGUGAAUGCGUUCCCGGGUCUUGUACACACCG
This 434-nucleotide ribosomal RNA is filed under the name uncultured bacterium. RNAcentral describes it as "bacterial SSU rRNA". It matches the Rfam family "Bacterial small subunit ribosomal RNA", at positions 958 to 1392 of the family's 1533-position model. The record is from RNAcentral.